GGGGGGGUAGCUCAGCGGAUAGAGCAGCGGUCUUCUAAACCGAAGGUCGAGGGUUCGAGUCCCUCCCUCCCCGCCA
This 76-nucleotide transfer RNA is filed under the name Verrucomicrobia bacterium CG_4_10_14_0_8_um_filter_43_34. RNAcentral describes it as "tRNA-Arg". It matches the Rfam family "tRNA". Rfam says of the family: Transfer RNA (tRNA) molecules are approximately 80 nucleotides in length. The record is from RNAcentral. Lineage: Bacteria; Pseudomonadati; Verrucomicrobiota. RNAcentral also lists the same sequence under 3 other names.